Molecule: microRNA precursor, 79 nt
Filed under: Medicago truncatula (barrel medic)
Lineage: Eukaryota; Viridiplantae; Streptophyta; Magnoliopsida; Fabales; Fabaceae
Description: MIR5269 microRNA precursor family
Rfam family: MIR5269 microRNA precursor family
Source: Rfam by way of RNAcentral
UUGGUUUAAAUCAUUGUGGGUCUACACUUUGGAAAUUGAACAUACACAAAAUUAUGGGACAUACAUUAAUUUCAUCAAA